This 417-nucleotide ribosomal RNA is filed under the name uncultured bacterium. RNAcentral describes it as "bacterial SSU rRNA". It matches the Rfam family "Bacterial small subunit ribosomal RNA", at positions 29 to 489 of the family's 1533-position model. The record is from RNAcentral.
AACGAACGCUGGCGGCAGGCUUAACACAUGCAAGUCGAACGGAUGUAGCAAUACAUCAGUGGCAGACGGGUGAGUAACACGUGGGAACCUUCCUCGUUGUACGGGACAACUCAGGGAAACUUGAGCUAAUACCGUAUACGUCCGAGAGGAGAAAGAUUUAUCGCAAUGAGACGGGCCCGCGUCGGAUUAGCUAGUUGGUGGGGUAACGGCCUACCAAGGCGACGAUCCGUAGCUGANCUGAGAGGAUGAUCAGCCACACUGGGACUGAGACACGGCCCAGACUCCUACGGGAGGCAGCAGUGGGGAAUCUUGGACAAUGGGCGCAAGCCUGAUCCAGCCAUGCCGCGUGAGUGAAGAAGGCCUUAGGGUUGUAAAGCUCUUUUGCCAGGGACGAUAAUGACGGUACCUGGAGAAUAA